UCUUCGGAGAGUUUGAUCAUGGCUCAGGACGAACGCUGGCGGCGUGCCUAAAACAUGCAAGUCGAACGGGACCUUCGGGUCUAGUGGCGAACGGCGGAGUAAUACAUAAGUAACUUGCCUCGAAGAUCGGGAUAGCCGCGGGAAACUGCGAGUAAUACCGGAUGUGGUGAGUGGGAGGCAUCUUCUGCUCAUUAAAUGGUCUUUCGCUUCGAGAGCGGCUUAUGACACAUCAGCUAGUUGGUGGGGUAAUGGCCUACCAAGGCUACGACGUGUAGGGGGUCUGAGAGGAUGAUCCCCCCGAGUGGGACUGAGACACGGCCCACACACCUACGGGUGGCAGCAGUUGGGAAUCUUGCACAAUGGGGGAAACCCUGAUGCAGCGACGCCGCGU
RNAcentral lists this ribosomal RNA (391 nucleotides) under Chthonomonas sp. RNAcentral describes it as "bacterial SSU rRNA". It matches the Rfam family "Bacterial small subunit ribosomal RNA", at positions 1 to 402 of the family's 1533-position model. Lineage: Bacteria; Bacillati; Armatimonadota; Chthonomonadia; Chthonomonadales; Chthonomonadaceae. The record is from RNAcentral.